RNAcentral lists this ribosomal RNA (442 nucleotides) under uncultured bacterium. RNAcentral describes it as "partial 16S ribosomal RNA". It matches the Rfam family "Bacterial small subunit ribosomal RNA", at positions 338 to 795 of the family's 1533-position model. The record is from RNAcentral.
CCUACGGGAGGCAGCAGUGGGGAAUAUUGGGCAAUGGGCGCAAGCCUGACCCAGCAACGCCGCGUGAAGGAAGAAGGCUUUCGGGUUGUAAACUUCUUUUAUAAGCGAGAAAUAUGAUGGUAACUUAUGAAUAAGGAUCGGCUAACUACGUGCCAGCAGCCGCGGUCAUACGUAGGAUCCGAGCAUUAUCCGGAGUGACUGGGUGUAAAGAGUUGCGUAGGUGGCAUAAUAAGUAGCUAGUGAAAUCUGGUGGCUCAACCAUUCAGACUAUUAGCUAAACUGUUAAGCUCGAGACCGUUAGGGGUAACUGGAAUUUCUAGUGUAGGAGUGAAAUCCGUAGAUAUUAGAAGGAACACCAAUAGCGUAGGCAGGUUACUGGGACGGUUCUGACACUAAGGCACGAAAGCGUAGGGAGCAAACGGGAUUAGAUACCCGAGUAGUC